Molecule: ribosomal RNA, 253 nt
Filed under: uncultured bacterium
Lineage: Bacteria
Description: partial 16S ribosomal RNA
Rfam family: Bacterial small subunit ribosomal RNA
Source: RNAcentral
GACGAAGAGGGCUAGCGUUGUUCGGAAUUACUGGGCGUAAAGCGCGUGUAGGCGGUUGUCCAAGUUGGAUGUGAAAGCCUUGAGCUUAACUCAAGAAAUGCAUUCAGGACUGGAUGACUAGAGGACCGGAGAGGAUAGUGGAAUUCCCAGUGUAGUGGUGAAAUACGUAGAGAUUGGGAAGAACACCAGUGGCGAAGGCGGCUAUCUGGACGGUUUCUGACGCUAAGACGCGAAAGCGUGGGGAGCAAACAGG